UGACCCCAGGUCAGGCGGGAUUAACAGCUGAGUUUAAGAAUAUCAAUAAGCGAAAGAAAAGAAACUUACAAAGAUUUUCUUAGUAACGGUGAGCGAACCGAGAACAGUCCAGCCUUAGAAUCGGGCAGCUCUGUCAUCCGAAUUAUAGUUUGGAGAAGCGUCCUCAGCAGCGGACCGGGCCCCCGUCCUCUGGAAGGGGGCGCUAGAGAGGGUGAGAGCCCCAUUAUGCCUGAACCCUGUCGCACCACGAGGCACUCUCUACGAGUCGAAUUGUUUGGAAAUGUAGCCUAAAUUGGGCGGUGAAUUCCAUCCAACGGUAAAUACAGGCGACAGACCGAUAGUGAACAAGUACCGCGAGGGUAAGAUGAAAAGGACUUUGAAAAGAGAGUCAAAGAGUGCUUGAAAUUAUCUGGAGAGAAGCGGUUGAGGGCCGAUGAUGCACCCUGAUCAAAAGUAGAAUGGUGAUGAGCUAGUCCACCGAUUGACUCGGGGUGUGGACCAGCGUGGAUUUGGGGUCGGCCAAAGCCUGGGCUUUCAAUACGCUCGUGGAAUGCUGUCUCCUCAAUUGUGGCCGGCAGCACGCCCCUCCGGUGUUCUUCGACAUCUGCGCGCUACGGAUGCUGGCUUGUGGGUUCCCUAUUUUACCCAUCUUGAAAAAUGGACCAAGGAGUCUGACAUGUGUGCGAGUCAAUGGACGAGUAAACCCGUAAGGCGUAAGGAAGCUGAUUGGUGGUAUCCCCCCGAGGAGUUCACCGCCGACCGACCUUGAUCUUCUGCAAAAGGUUUGAUUGUGAGCAUACCUGUUGUGACUGGAAAAUGGUGAACUAUGCCUUAGUGGGGCGAAGCCAGAGGAAACUCUGGUUGAGGCCCACAACGAUACUAAUAUGUAAAUUCUUCGUCUAACUUAGAUGUAAGGCCCACGGCUGCUGUGUCGAGCCGUGCCACUAAAUCAAGAGCUCCAAGUGGGCCAUUUUUGGUAAGCAGAACUGGCAAUACGGGAUGAACCGGAAGCCGGGUUACGGUGCCAAACUGUACGAUAACCUAGAUCCCACGAAGGGUGUUGGUCGAUUAAGAUAGCAGGAUAGUGGUCAUGGAAGUCAAAAUCAGCUAAGGAGUGUGUAACAACUCACCCGCUGAAUAAACUAGCCCUAAAAAUGGAUGGCGCUUAAGCGCACGACCUACACCCAGCCGUUGAGGAAAGUUCCAGUCCCCGAUGAGUAGGAGGGCGUGGCGGUCGCUGUAAAACCUUGGGCGCGAGCCCGGGCAGAGCAUCCGUCGGUGCACAUAUUGAUGGUAGUAGUAAAUAUUCAAAUGAGAACUUUGAAGGCCAAAGAGGGGAAAGGUUCCAUGUGAACAACACUUGCACAUGGAUUAGUCGAUCCUAAGGGUCGGGGGAACCCCCACAGAUAGCGCGUUUUGUGCGUGCUCCAAAAGGUAAUCGGGUUGAAAUUCUUGGACCAGGACGUGGUGAUCGACGCCCAGUGCACGACAUCUAUUGCUGGGAGUUGGAGCCGGUGCUGGGCGUACAUCAAUGGAGCAUUUGGAUGCACAGUGUGUGAGUUGUGUUCGGUAUAUGCGGUUAGGUUGGAUCUCUACUUGAGCACCAACGUCUUGACCCACCUGCCAUCUCAGUCGUGGGGUAAGCACAAUUUAGGUUUGCUUGAAGUCCAUUUCCUAUGCUGUAUACCUAAUGCCCAGGCAUUAUCAAGUUUUAUCGAUCAUCCUUCACACCUCGCAUUUCAUGCACGGGGUGAAUCAAAAGGCUGCCCUCGUGUCACAGGCCUUUCUCGUUUUAUCGUGCGGUCAUGGUCCAUCAGCGGCGGUCAAGAUUCUCGGAUAUAAUAGACGCAAUGGGCAUAGGGUCUUUAUCGACUCCUAUCUGUCCUGUACGAUAGAGUAAUGAUAUAAGUGGAUUACACAUCAUAAAUUCACAAACCCAUAGCAAUAAAGAGUAUACUACAAGGUUUCCAUAACCCUAACAAAUAAACUUAGCUAUGCAUGAGUAAAACAGGAAUCAAAAUAGACAUAUUCGUCAUACCAAAACUUAGAACAAUCUUGGUGAUAAAAAUGACUAGAGACAAUAAGAGAGAAACGCGUUUCUCUCUCUUUGUCCUCAAGCUAAGCAUCUCCCUUCUUUUCAAAAAUAAUAUAGAAUCUGAAUAAUCUCAAUAAUCCCUAAAAAUUCAGCAAUAAUGCUUUUAAUAACAUCCUUCUCUAAUAAAUUGCUACUGCAUCCUUAACUAUUUAAAAAUACUGAGUUUGCUCGGGAAAAAGUUCCCAUGCAUCACAUUCAGUCCAAAAGUUGCCUUCCCUUUUAUGUGAAGUUUUCCUUUGCUGUCCACAGGGCCUCAAAGUGCUGAAAUCUUCCUCAUUAGUACCUAAAAAGCAUGUUAAUCACAUAGAUCAGCUCACUUAAUUGAAAAUAGACUAAAAGUGCAGGAAUUAUGUAUUUUAUCCUCAAAACUUAGCAAAAACAUGGGUAAGUUAUGGUUCUUAGACGUAUAAAUACGCCCAACAUCAAGUAAACCCAUAAGGUGUAAGGAAGCUGAUUGGUGGUAUCCCCUCGAGGGGUGCAUCGCCGACCGACCUUGAUCUUCUGAGAAGGGUUCGAGUGUGAGCAUACCUGUUGGGACCCAAAAGAUGGUAAACUAUGCCUGAGCGGGGUAAAGCUAGAGGAAACUCUGGUGGAGGCCCGCAGUGAUACUGACUUGCAAAUCGUUCGUCUGACUUGGGUGUAGGGCCCGCGGCUGCUUUGUCGAGCCGUGCCACGAAUCAAGAGCUCCAAGUGGGCCAUUUUGAGUAAGCAGAACUGGCGAUGUGGGAUAAACCAAAAUCUGGGUUACUGUUCCAAACUGUGCACUAACCUAGAUCCCAAAAUGUUAGGAAGUUCGGAGACAUCGGCAGGAGCCUCAGGAAGAGUUAUCUUUUCUGUGUAACCGCUUCCCACAGUGGAAUCGGCUUAGUCAGAGGUAGGGUCCAGUGGCUGGAAGAGCACCACACAUCACGUGGUGUCCGGUGCACUACCGAAGGCCCUUGAAAAUCCAAAGAACCGAAUGCCGUCCAUGCCCGGUCGUACUCAUAACCAUAUCAAGUCUCCAAGGGAACAACCUCUGGUUGAUGGAACAAUGUAGGCAAGGGAAGUCGGCAAAAUAGAUCCGUAACUUCUAGAAAAGGAUUAUCACUGAGGGCUGGGCAUGGGGGUCCCAGUCCCGAACCCAUCGGAUGUCGAUGGACUACUCAAGCUUCUCCCAUAGCGAGAGCGGGUCACUGCAUACCGAUCAGGGGAUGUACUGGGAACGGUUCCUUCAGGGGCCUUCCCUGCACAUCAAACAGCCAACUCAGAAUCGGUACGGACAAGGGGAAUCCGACUGUUUAAUUAAAACAAAGAAUUACUAUGGUCCCAACGGAUGUUCACGCAUUGUGAUUUCUACCCAGUGCUCUGAAUGUCAAAGUGAAAAAAUUCAACCAAGCGCGGGUAAACGGCGGGAGUAACUAUGACUUACUUAAGGUAGCCAAAUGCCUCAUCAUCUAAUUGGUGACGUGCAUGAAUGGAUUAACGAGAUUACCACUAUCCCUGUCUACUAUCCAGCAAAACCACAGCCAAAGGAACGUGCUUGGCAGAAUCAAUGGGGAAAGAAGACCCUCUUGAGCUUGACUCUACUCCGACUUUAUGAAAUGACUUAAGAGGUGUAGUAUAAGUGGGAUCCGUGAAUUGGAAUUGGGGCACUGCCCCUACUGGCUGGAUCAACUAGGUAGACAGGCAAAAGUGUAAUACCACUACUUUUAACAUUAUUUUACUUAUUCUGUGAAUUGCAAGCGGGGCACUGCCCCUCAUUUCAGACCCCAGUCUCACUCUGUGGGCUGAUCCAAGUGGAAGACAUUGCCAGGCGGGGAAUUUGGAUGGGGCGGCACAUCUGUUAAAAGAUAACGCAGGUGUCCUAAGAUGAGCUCAACGAGACCAGAAAUAUCGUGUAGAACAGAAGGGUAAAAGCUCGUUUGAUUCAAAUUUCCAUUACGAAUAAGAACCAUUAAAGUGUGGCCUAACGAUUCUUUAGACCUUCAGAAUUCAAAGCUGGAGGUGUUAGAAAAGUGCUACCACAGGGAUAGCUGUCCUGUUGUAACCAAGCGUUCAUAGCGACGUUGCUUUUUCAUCCUUUGAUGUUGGCUCUUCCUAUCAUUUUGAAGCAAAAUUCACCAAGUGUUGGACUGUUCACCCACCAAUAGAAAACAUGAGGUGGGUUUAGACCAUCGUGAGACAGGUUAGUUUUACCCUACUUAUGACAGUGUCACUGUAGUAAUUCAACCUAGUACGAGAAGAAAUAUUGAUUCACACAAUUUGUCAUUGCGCUUGGUUGAAAAACCAGUGGCGUAAUGCUACCGUGUGUUGGAUUAUAACUGAACAUCUCUAAGUUAGAAUUCGGACUAGAAGCGAUGCAUGCGCCUGCUAUCCGCUUGUCGACCCACAGUAGGUGCCUCGGCCCCCAAGGGCACAUGUCGUUUUCUAAGCCACCGCGGUAGAAGAAUCACGGAGGCCGCCUUGAAGUAUAAUUUCCAUCGAGCGGCCGGUAGAAUCCAUUGCAAAAGACUUAAAUAUGCGAUGGGGUAUUGUAAGUGGAAGAGUGGCCUUGCUGCCAUGAUCCACUGAGAUUCAUCCCUUUGUCGCUCUGGUUCGU
This is a non-coding RNA of Capsicum annuum, 4673 nucleotides long. Lineage: Eukaryota; Viridiplantae; Streptophyta; Magnoliopsida; Solanales; Solanaceae. The record is from Rfam.